RNAcentral lists this ribosomal RNA (858 nucleotides) under Montagnula aquilariae. Its description in RNAcentral is "SSU rRNA". It matches the Rfam family "Eukaryotic small subunit ribosomal RNA", at positions 75 to 942 of the family's 1831-position model. The record is from RNAcentral. Lineage: Eukaryota; Fungi; Ascomycota; Dothideomycetes; Pleosporales; Didymosphaeriaceae.
UAUACCGUGAAACUGCGAAUGGCUCAUUAAAUCAGUUAUCGUUUAUUUGAUAGUACCUUACUACUUGGAUAACCGUGGUAAUUCUAGAGCUAAUACAUGCUAAAAAGUCCGACUUCGGGAGGGCUGUAUUUAUUAGAUAAAAAACCAAUGCCCUUCGGGGCUCCUUGGUGAUUCAUGAUAACUUCUCAGAUCGCAUAGCCUUGAGCUGGCGACGGUUCAUUCAAAUUUCUGCCCUAUCAACUUUCGAUGGUAUGGUAUUGGCUUACCAUGGUUUCAACGGGUAACGGGGAAUUAGGGUUCGAUUCCGGAGAGUUAGCCGGAGGAACGGCUAACACAUCCAAGGAAGGCAGCAGGCGCGCAAAUUACCCAAUUCCGAUGCGGAGAGGUAGUGACAAUAAAUACUGAUACAGGGCUCUUUUGGGUCUUGUAAUUGGAAUGAGUACAAUUUAAACCUCUUAACGAGGAACAAUUGGAGGGCAAGUCUGGUGCCAGCAGCCGCGGUAAUUCCAGCUCCAAUAGCGUAUAUUAAAAUUGUUGCAGUUAAAAAGCUCGUAGUUGAACCUUUGGCCUGGCUGGCGGGUCCGCCUCACCGCGUGCACUUGCCCGGCCGGGCCUUUUCUUCCGGAGAACCGCAUGCCCUUCGCUGGGUGUGUUGGGGACCGGGACUUUUACUUUGAAAAAAUUAGAGUGUUCAAAGCAGGCCUUUGCUCGAAUACGUUAGCAUGGAAUAAUAGAAUAGGACGUCGCGGUCCUAUUUUGUUGGUUUCUAGGACCGCCGUAAUGAUUAAUAGGGACAGUUGGGGGUAUCAGUAUUCAAUUGUCAGAGGUGAAAUUCUUGGAUUUAUUGAAGACUAACUA